AAGUCGUAACAAGGUCUCCGUUGGUGAACCAGCGGAGGGAUCAUUACCGAGUUUACAACUCCCAAACCCAAUGUGAACGUUACCAAUCUGUUGCCUCGGCGGGAUUCUCUGCCCCGGGCGCGUCGCAGCCCCGGAUCCCAUGGCGCCCGCCGGAGGACCAACUCAAACUCUUUUUUCUCUCCGUCGCGGCCUACGUCGCGGCUCUGUUUUAUUUUUGCUCUGAGCCUUUCUCGGCGACCCUAGCGGGCGUCUCGAAAAUGAAUCAAAACUUUCAACAACGGAUCUCUUGGUUCUG
Molecule: unclassified non-coding RNA, 295 nt
Filed under: Trichoderma citrinoviride
Lineage: Eukaryota; Fungi; Ascomycota; Sordariomycetes; Hypocreales; Hypocreaceae
Description: partial internal transcribed spacer region
Rfam family: Eukaryotic small subunit ribosomal RNA (bases 1-46)
Source: RNAcentral